Molecule: ribosomal RNA, 686 nt
Filed under: Fusarium oxysporum
Lineage: Eukaryota; Fungi; Ascomycota; Sordariomycetes; Hypocreales; Nectriaceae
Description: SSU rRNA
Rfam family: Eukaryotic small subunit ribosomal RNA
Source: RNAcentral
UGCUAAAAAUCCCGAAUGGGGAAGGGAUGUAUUUAUUAGAUUAAAAACCAAUGCCCUUCGGGACUCACUGGUGAUUCAUGAUAACUCCUCGAAUCGCAUGGCCUUGUGCCGGCGGCUGAAAAUUCAAAUUUCUUCCCUAUCAACUUUCGAUGUUUGGGUAUUGGCCAAACAUGGUUGCAACGGGUAACGGAGGGUUAGGGCUCGACCCCGGAGAAGGAGCCUGAGAAACGGCUACUACAUCCAAGGAAGGCAGCAGGCGCGCAAAUUACCCAAUCCCGACACGGGGAGGUAGUGACAAUAAAUACUGAUACAGGGCUCUUUUGGGUCUUGUAAUUGGAAUGAGUACAAUUUAAAUCCCUUAACGAGGAACAAUUGGAGGGCAAGUCUGGUGCCAGCAGCCGCGGUAAUUCCAGCUCCAAUAGCGUAUAUUAAAGUUGUUGUGGUUAAAAAGCUCGUAGUUGAACCUUGGGCCUGGCUGGCCGGUCCGCCUCACCGCGUGUACUGGUCCGGCCGGGCCUUUCCCUCUGUGGAACCCCAUGCCCUUCACUGGGUGUGGCGGGGAAACAGGACUUUUACUGUGAAAAAAUUAGAGUGCUCCAGGCAGGCCUAUGCUCGAAUACAUUAGCAUGGAAUAAUAGAAUAGGACGUGUGGUUCUAUUUUGUUGGUUUCUAGGACCGCCGUAAUG